This 674-nucleotide long non-coding RNA is filed under the name Homo sapiens (human). Its description in RNAcentral is "non-protein coding lnc-CALY-1:1". The record is from RNAcentral. Lineage: Eukaryota; Metazoa; Chordata; Mammalia; Primates; Hominidae.
CCCAGCCCCAGCCAACUCCCGGCACUGAACACUACAGGGAAUGGACUUCCGGCAGAUCUCACCCACCACCUGCACCACCCCAGCCAGCAGCAGCUCUGCAGCCCCGCCCACCCCAGCCAGCAGCAGCUCUGCAGCCCCGCCCACCCCAGCCAGCAGCAGCUCUGCAGCCCCGCCCACCCCAGCCAAUUGCAGCACUGCAGCCCCGCCCACCCCAGCCAAUUGCAGCACUGCAGCCCCGCCCACCCCAGCCAGCAGCGGCUCUGCAGCCCCGCCCACCCCAGCCCCCGACCAUUGGUGGAUGGAAGCCCCCCACCAUUGGCUCCCAGGCUUGCUGGCUAGGUGCGGGUCUAGGCAGCUUCCCAGCUCAGUGGGACUGGCCUGCUUUGGAACAGCGGCAGUGCCCAGGAAGCCUGUGAACUGGGCCUGCCAGGGAAGCCAUGGUGAGCUGGAAGCCAGCCAGGUGGGGUCAGGGAAGGCAGGGCCAUGCACACCACACCCUUCACUGCUGGGCUUCUAAGGGCAUUGGCCAGAUGAACAAGCACACGCAGAACUGAAUUGGCCCUGAUGGCCUGCAAGGGAGGGGGGCCCGGGGCCUGGGGCGUCAGCUGGGAUAUAUGGGGGCAGGGAGUCUCUGCAUGGCCGAUGUUUGAAUUAAAAUACAGCUUUCCCCUGUA